CCUACGGGUGGCAGCAGUCGAGAAUCAUUCACAAUGGGGGAAACCCUGAUGGUGCGACGCCGCGUGGGGGAAUGAAGGUCUUCGGAUUGUAAACCCCUGUCAUGUGGGAGCAAAUUAAAAAGAUAGUACCACAAGAGGAAGAGACGGCUAACUCUGUGCCAGCAGCCGCGGUAAUACAGAGGUGUCAAGCGUUGUUCGGAAUCACUGGGCGUAAAGCGUGUGUAGGCUGUUUCGUAAGUCGUGUGUGAAAUGCGCGGUCUCAAACCGCGGAGGGCACAUGAUACUGGGAGACUAGAGUAAGGGAGAGGGAAGCGGAAUUCUAGGUGUAGCAGUGAAAUGCGUAGAUAUCGGGAAGAAC
Molecule: ribosomal RNA, 358 nt
Filed under: uncultured bacterium
Lineage: Bacteria
Description: partial 16S ribosomal RNA
Rfam family: Bacterial small subunit ribosomal RNA
Source: RNAcentral